This is a long non-coding RNA of Oncorhynchus gorbuscha (pink salmon), 3439 nucleotides long. RefSeq lists it as uncharacterized. The record is from RefSeq and is a predicted model, not a curated record. The transcript has 3 exons. Lineage: Eukaryota; Metazoa; Chordata; Actinopteri; Salmoniformes; Salmonidae.
CAGUGUGAGCGCAGGAGCUGCACGCGCACUCAACAAGCCCUAAAAAACGGAGAAAUCUGUGCGCUUUAGAGGCUAAGGACAUUAAUAGUAUAAUGAACAUUUAAUGCUCGUAACAGUAGGCCUAUAGCCAAUACACUUAAACAACGCUAAUACAAUCAAAUAUAAUCUAAAAUUAUUAGUAUUGUCAACAUCAGCAAUCUUAAUAGGCUAUGUUCGCAAUAUCCGUCAAGUGACACACGGCACGGGACUACUGUACGCGCCGCACGCGCUAAAGAGUUCCGUGACACUGACGAACUGUUCACCAGCAGCAGGAGGAGAGGGAUGAGGGCAGCAUGGAUUACUCCCUCUCCACUGGGUUAAGAUGCUUACCAACUAAUUACCUUUCCAUCUGAAAAUCCCCGACCACGCAGCUCCAACAGACCGAGUGCUAGGAGAGAUGAAAAGAUAGAGGGACGGGGAGGCCGGUGGUGGAAAGAGGAGAGGAUGGGUGUUUGUGUUUCUUUUUUCAUUUCAGGAUGAGGAUGCUGUCCUUUGGGUGAUGUGGCCUUCGUUCAGGUAUGGAGCUAUUCCUCGAAGAGGGGGAGGUAGGGAGAGAGGGGUCUAUUGACGAUUUCUUCCAGAAGCGGGAAGAGGAGCUCUGGGACCCAUUUGGAGCAUCUCAAAAAUCACUUAGUGCAUCAUUCCACACGGCUGUAAUCAAUCUUCGAGCUGGGUAGUGGGUCUGCAUGGCACAGAGAUGAAUGUCUGCCCCUUUCUCCAUGUCCCGAUAAGGGAUGUUUGUUGUAACCUGUUUGUUUUAACCCGAUGGACAGAAGGCAUGUGCAACGCAGCCCAUGAGGACAUGGAUAUAAGAAACUUGUUGCAGAUUUUAAGAUUUUAAGUGGUAGUAUUGAAUACAUGGCUAAUGCUGUGUUGAACGACAUGUUGGAACACAUUCUUUUCGAACACAUAGAGAAUAAUUAUUCUCUGUGUAGUGUGGAGUAAGGUCUGGUGUUUUAGUCAUGCAUUUCAUUCAAGCUCUGCCUUUCUGCCCCAUCCAUUCCCCUUUUGUGGAUCAGAAACAAGGUAGAAGAUGUAAGCAAUAAUUUGACUUGUGUUUCUAUCAUAUUUCUCUGACCUAUCCAAGUUCACAGGGGCGGGCGGCCUGUUCCAUCUGGUAUUUUGGGUAAUGCCAGAUGGGCUGGUCAAUUUUUAGCCCAGUUGGACUGUCUAACUUGUGCCCCUCAAGGAACGAAAUGGGCUGGUGUGGGGGCCUCAAAGAAAAACAGAGUGGCUGUGGUUCUGGAUCUUCUGUAACCCGACUUUCUGUUUCUAAAAAUAAGACGUAGAUUUCUGCAUAUGCGGGAUCCACUAGCCUACCUCCUUUCAGCUGUUGUUCAGUAAUAAUGGGAAGUUCUUACCGACUCAGAUCUUUUUGAUUCAGUCAAAAGAAUGAAUCAUUCCAUUCCUUUGAUUCAGUAAUGCCCAGAGCAUGCAGGACCCCUACCGGCGAAUGAGGAACUAAAAGCUCGAAGGAAUCAUUCCAUUCCUUUGAUUCAGUAAUGCCCAGAGCAUGCAGGACCCCUACCGGCGAAUGAUGAACUAAAAGCUCGAAGGAAUCAUUCCAUUCCUUUGAUUCAGUAAUGCCCAGAGCAUGCAGGACCCCUACCGGCGAAUUAUGAACUAAAAGCUUGAAGGAAUCAUGAUUGCACAAGUCUCUCAUUCACCAUAGGAGGCUUAUUGGAGCUGCCAUUUGUGACUGAAACGUAUAAAACUGUGCUUCAUACAAUGUACAUUUGUGAUUGCUCAGCAUACAAAUACGAUUAUUCAUCGAUACAUUUGAAACAAGGUCUUGUUGCAGCCGCAGCCGGACUAGAUUGUGUGAACGACUCUUGGCGGAAUGCUUGACUGCCGCGAGGGAGAUCAGCAAGAUAUUGUUUACGAACUGCAGCAGCCCACCAAAAGGAUUUUUAUGGAGUGUUGGGCAGAGUCAGGCUGUGUAUGAUUUGAUUCUACAAAGCUGUGUCCUUCGAAAAACAUUCAAUAAUCAAAUCAUUGCAUUCAUUCUGUCAGCAUGCGAUCACCUAUCAGUUCUAAACAUGGUCCCAGGGUUCUCAGUAGCUGUGUGCCAUCCCCCCGGGGCAUCUGCGCUAUGAUUAGCUGAUUAUAACAUACACUCCCAGAGUAAACUUACACUUGACAGAGGAGUGUAUGUGAGUACGUCUCAGCAAUAGGGGCUGUAACAGAGAUCCAUACACACCUCCAUGAACCAUUUACCUCACUGGAAUGAGAAGUGCAUCCUACCGAGAUUUGCCUCAGUCAAUGAAUCAGUCAAUCAAUUUGAUUGAUUCAUGUACUUUUCCAGUCGUAGGGUUGGUUUUGGCUGUUGCUCGAGAUGGAGCUGGAGUAUAGGGCUGGGGCUCGGUAGUGCGUGUAGUGGAGUAUGUAGCAGUGUAGCAGAGAUGUGCGGUGGAUUAGAGCCUACGUUGUCCCUACAACAGCAGAAGGGCCUGCUGUAAAUCCUGGGCUUUAACGGUAGCCACAGCCACCGCAGCUUAUGAUGCAACCAGCUCCCCUUCUACGGCACCACGAAAGGGGAGUGAGAGGGGAGGAGAGCAGGGGGUGGGAUGAGAAAGGAGAGGAGAAGAGAAUAGUAGGGUAUAAAGUGGUCUUGAUGAUGUCAUUUUGACACAAAUCAGCUUUCAAACACUGCAGUUCAUCGGGUUCAACACAGAAUGGGGAUGUUCACACACACACAUGCACGGAUGCACACACAUAUCCAUAGCACAUGGUUAAACUGGUGGCUAUAGUGAGAGGGCAGUGUGCUGCUGACACACUGACAGCUGCUGGUGGUGAUUAGACCAUGUAGCCAUGAUGGAGGGGAUCAAAGACACACACACACAAAACCACCUCCACUUCAUCCUGUGACGGCUCUGUCUACUGGGUUUUGCUGUGCUUACUUCCUGCAGGAGAUUGGUGUGCGGAGUAGUAGAGGUGGGAGAAGCUGGGAGGGUCGUCAGUGCUGAUGGGGCACACCUGUGAAAGCUCAGCAGUAGCAUGAGCCACUGCUUCCCCAUUCAGCAAGAGAAGCUAACCUUUGGUUUACCUUUGGCUUACCUUUGGUUGUUUCAUUGUGGCUUUGGCAGUUGACACCUAAUUUACUGACCUUCAUGCCUCUGCAUCUGAUUAUUGUUGUGAGUGUUUACUUUAUUUAUGGAAUAAAUUCAUUUAGUUAAUCCCUUUGUGUGGUUUCCCAUUGUUUGUUACAAUCUUGAGUCAGGUUGUAACAAGUGGCGGCUCAUCCAGAACACACAACACAGUAAUAAACAGGACACCAUCAUCUGGGCUAAGCAACUCCCCCUACAACCCCCCCCCCCCCUUGCUGUCUUGGCUAGUUUUUAUUGCUUUAUUUCACUGUAGAGCCCUCAAUCCUGCUCAAAUUGCCUUAGAUAGGUCUUUC